CACCGGCGGCUCGAGUGGUAACCGUUAUUAUUGGGUCUAAAGGGUCUGUAGCCGGCCGGAUAAGUCCCUUGAGAAAUCCAUCGGCUUAACUGAUGGGCGUUCAGGGGAUACUGUGGUUCUAGGGACCGGGAGAGGUGAGAGGUACUUCAGGGGUAGGGGUGAAAUCUUGUAAUCCUUGAAGGACCACCAGUGGCGAAGGCGUCUCACCAGAACGGACCUGACGGCAAGGGACGAAAGCUAGGGGCACGAACCGGAUUAGAUACCCGGGUAGUCCUAGCCGUAAACGAUACUCGCUAGGUGUCGGCCACGGUGCGACCGUUGUCGGUGCCGUAGGGAAGCCGUGAAGCGAGCCACCUGGGAAGUACGGCCGCAAGGCUGAAACUUAAAGGAAUUGGCGGGGGAGCACCACAACGGGUGGAGCUUGCGGUUUAAUUGGACUCAACGCCGGA
Molecule: ribosomal RNA, 449 nt
Filed under: uncultured archaeon
Lineage: Archaea
Description: bacterial SSU rRNA
Rfam family: Archaeal small subunit ribosomal RNA
Source: RNAcentral